GAUGAACGUUGGCGGCGUGCCUAAUACAUGCAAGUCGAACGGAGAUUGUAGUAAUACGGUCUCAGUGGCGAACGGGUGAGUAACGCGUUGGUGACCUGCCCCGAAGUGUGGAAUAACAGAUCGAAAGAGCCGCUAAUACCGCAUAAUAUCCAGAAGAUUAGACGCUUUUGGAUUAAAGGAUUUAUUCGCUUCGGGAGGGGCCUGCGUCCCAUCAGCUAGUUGGUAAGGUAAUGGCUUACCAAGGCUAUGACGGGUAGGGGACCUGAGAGGGUGGCCCCCCACAAUGGAACUGAAACACGGUCCAUACACCUACGGGUGGCAGCAGUAGGGAAUAUUAGUAAUGGGCGAAAGCCUGAACUAGCAACGCCGCGUGUGCGAAGAAGGCCUCGGUUGUAAAGCACUUUUAGUAGAGGAUGAGGAAGGACGGUACGUCUCAGAAUAAGUCUCGGCUAACUACGUG
RNAcentral lists this ribosomal RNA (460 nucleotides) under uncultured bacterium. RNAcentral's name for it is "bacterial SSU rRNA". It matches the Rfam family "Bacterial small subunit ribosomal RNA", at positions 28 to 507 of the family's 1533-position model. The record is from RNAcentral.